AUGAAAACUCUCUACUACAUAGAGGUUCGAAAGUUCAUUACACAUAACAUAGGCAUGUUAAGCAUUCUAAAAUUCACAAUAAAUAUAUCUAACGUGAAAAUGCAUGAAUUUUUACCGUACGACACAUAAGUCAUCAAAUAUGAGAAUUUCUUAUAUUUUAGGCUAGGUCAAACCCACCGAACUUCGCGCAACCCUUCGUUUGCUUCAACGAAGAUGUCCACUAAGCUCCUAGCACCCUAAAAGCAUCAAAAAGUG
RNAcentral lists this long non-coding RNA (255 nucleotides) under Ananas comosus (pineapple). RNAcentral's name for it is "long non-coding RNA (ACOM_LNC017082)". The record is from RNAcentral. Lineage: Eukaryota; Viridiplantae; Streptophyta; Magnoliopsida; Poales; Bromeliaceae.